Molecule: ribosomal RNA, 439 nt
Filed under: uncultured bacterium
Lineage: Bacteria
Description: partial 16S ribosomal RNA
Rfam family: Bacterial small subunit ribosomal RNA
Source: RNAcentral
CUACGGGGGGCUGCAGCGAGGAAUAUUGCACAAUGGGGGGAACCCUGAUGCAGCAACGCCGCGUGGAGGAUGACGCAUUUCGGUGCGUAAACUCCUUUUAUAUGUCAAGAAAAUGACGGUAGCAUAUGAAUAAGCACCGGCUAACUCCGUGCCAGCAGCCGCGGUAAUACGGAGGGUGCAAGCGUUACUCGGAAUCACUGGGCGUAAAGGACGCGUAGGCGGGUUGGAAAGUCAGGUGUGAAAUCCUACAGCUUAACUGUAGAACUGCACUUGAAACUUCUAAUCUAGAGUAUGGGAGGGGGAGAUGGAAUUAGUGGUGUAGGGGUAAAAUCCGUAGAUAUCACUAGGAAUACCUAAAGCGAAGGCGAUCUCCUGGAACAUUACUGACGCUAAGGCGUGAAAGCGUGGGGAGCAAACAGGAUUAGAUACCCUCGUAGUC